GCCUUUGACCAAAAAAAUAUACAUUUCUUUUAAAAGAAGAGGUACCAAUAAAUUGAACUCUAAUUUCUUGCUCUCCAAACAAAGCUUGGAUACACCUAUUCAAUGUGCACAAAGAAAACAAAGUUAUUUGCUUAUUACAUAUUAACAUCAUAAACAAAUUGAAACUUACAAGUGAAUACAUUUUCAUAUACAGUAGUUGCAUUAAAAGUUAAACCAAUAUAUCAUUCACAAUCAAUUAACUUGUGCUCUUCCAUUGAAGUUGCUACAGAAAUGUCUCGGCAAUAUUAAUUAAAUCUGAAUGCUCGCUUAGCUGAGUCCAGCAUGUUAGAAAGAAGUAUAGAGGUUAUCACAGGUCCCACACCUCCUGGCACAGGUGUAAUGGCUGACGCUACCUUCAGUCCUUCACUGCUUCUUCAUAACAAACAUCUCCCACAACUCGAAAUCCAUGAUGGCAAGAAGGGUCCUACAAAUUAUAACAUCAUCCAAUACAUUUGGUAGCAUGAAGAAUGUUCAAGACUCUUAGGCCUGUUUUAUGAAGCCAAAACUGGUUAUUUGUGGAUAAAGAAUAGACGCCACAAGUAAAUUGUUAGUGCACAAGACAGACUUAGAUGCAUGUAUCGCCUAUAUGGUGUGAGCUAUUAAAGACUGACCAUGUAUGGCACGCAUUUGUGCCUACAAAGUCCAAGCAACAAACAUUGAACCUCAAUUAUCAUACCAUGCAAUGAAAUUAUGCUAAUUAGUUCUGCUAAAAAACAUAAGGAAACCACAAGAACAGGGUGACAAAAUCAUUGUGCACCCAUUGAUAAAUGGUAACCACUAAUCAGAGGGUGCAUGAUGCGCAAUCUAUUUGUGUGGUUUCUUGGGUGAAAUACACUUUUUCCAUGCUACUUUAUUUGGCUGAAAAACAUCAGAUAUUAUUUUCCAGCUAUGGCAUACAAUUUGAUAUUAAAAAAUAUGCCCAUGUAUAAAAGCAACAGAAAUGGCAAAAUUUGUCUUGAUUCCCCCCAAAAAAGUACAAAAAUGUAAGUACUUGCCUUAAUUGAAUUUGUCCCAGUGUCAAUUACAAUUGCUCCCGGUUUUAACCAGCUGCCUCGAACCACAUUAGGAAUCCAAUAUCUGAGACUACAAUAUCAGCUUCACAAGUUAUCUGCACUGGUUGCUUAGUAAAUGCAUGUACACUGCUGACUGUUGCAUGGUGCCUCUGCUCAUAAACAACUCAUUACAAAUAUAGACAAUGAAGAUAUCAUUUUGCACAGCAAAUCAAUAUACUACCUGCAAGAGCAAAGAAGUGGGCAAACCGACAAUCUUGCUUCUUCCAAUGACCACUGCCUUCUUUCCAGUGAUUUCCACCCCAUGUCUAAGCAACAACUCAAUGCAACCCUUGGAGGCACAGGGAAUGAAGAAGGGCUCCCUAUCCCUCAUGGCAAGGUUACCCAUAUUGAGGGGAUGGAAGCCAUCCACAUCUUUUUCUGGACUGACACAAUUUAUGACCUUUUCCUCGUCCAAAUGCUUCAUCAACAUUUUCAUUUGACAAUAUAAUAAAGUUAGCACUGCCUUACAUCCAGCCUAACGCUAUUAUCCCAAAGAUGCACGCAUUAGACAAUUUAAGAUCCAGUGCCAGUGGUUUCAAUCAUGAGAAAAAGGAACUUCACUCUAGGGGUUUGAAUGAUCCUACAGUGCUAAGAAAUAAAAGAUUUACAUUAUUAGAGUUACCAGUCACUAAACAACAUAUAGAAAAUAUAGACCACAAGAUAAGAUUUAAUAAGCAAAACCAAUUAACUUGCAGGUCCUUAUGCAUGCGUACCCACCACACACAUAAUUAGACAAAAAGUAUUAACUCUUAUAAUAGAAUUUUGCAAAACCGAAACAUCUAUGAUUCUUAGCUCCAGUGUUAAAUUGAUAACCAGGGGAAAAAAAAAGAAAAGAAAAGCAGAAAGCAGAAAGCAAGAAAAUUACUUGAGGUAAGGGAAGUUGUAUGAUAAUACCAUGUACAGAGGGGUUCUGGUUAAAACUUGAAAUAACAUGAAGAAUUUCAUCCUCUGUACAAUCCUCAGGGAGUUCUGCUGUUAAAGAUGCUAUUCCAACUUCAUCACAGGCGUUCAACUUGAUGCGUAAGAAAGUAUGGGAAUCCCUUCUCUUACCCACUAGAACAACAGCCAAUACUGGAGAUUUUCCUAUGGCAGCUUUCAUGUUGCAUAUUUGGACAGCUAUUUGGGAUUUUAUAUCUUCUGCUAUUGACUUUCCAUUAAUUAGAGUAGCAACCUGACCAUUUGCUGUUUGAAUAGGUCAGUCUUUUAAAAGACAAAAGAACAAACUAAAACAGCCCAAAAUUAGUAAUUAUGCAAAUGCAUUCCUACCAGAUAACCAAUCAAAUCCAAAGCUAAAGAUAAGAGCGAGUGAAUAAUUGAUACUAACAGUGAAACCCGGAAGAAUGGGGACGGACACAGCCACUGGGAACCCAAAAGUAAGGAUGGUUGUGGCCCAGGAUAGGAAUGGAAACAGGAUUCCAAGACGAAUAUGAUAAUGAAAGAAAUGGGAUUCGCUUUCCCAACAUGCGCUUUAUGUUAGCCAGGACUGCCACAACUCCCAUCUAUCUUCAGUUCAGACUUCAGUUCGGUGGCGUCUCUCUGCGCUUUGCAGCAUCCGGCAACCAGUAGCAUCCCCAGAGCCAGGCGAUUAUCGUAAUUCCACUAUCCUAAUCUCUCUUCUCAACUUCUAAUGUACGCCCAUUUGGGCUUUCUUUUCUCGGCCCAUAUAA
Molecule: unclassified non-coding RNA, 2758 nt
Filed under: Hevea brasiliensis (rubber tree)
Lineage: Eukaryota; Viridiplantae; Streptophyta; Magnoliopsida; Malpighiales; Euphorbiaceae
Source: RNAcentral